ACUCAAAGGAAUUGACGGGGGCCCGCACAAGCGGUGGAGCAUGUGGUUUAAUUCGACGCAACGCGAAGAACCUUACCUGGGCUCGAACGGGUUUGGACCGGAGGUGGAAACACUUCCUUUCCCGCAAGGGACUGAAUCCGAGGUGCUGCAUGGCUGUCGUCAGCUCGUGUCGUGAGAUGUUGGGUUAAGUCCCGCAACGAGCGCAACCCUUGUCCUGUGUUGCCAUGCCGAAAGGCGGCACUCUCAGGAGACCGCCAGCGACAAGCUGGAGGAAGGUGGGGAUGACGUCAAGUCAUCAUGGCCUUUAUGUCCAGGGCUACACACGUGCUACAAUGGGCGGUACAAAGCGCAGCGAACCCGCGAGGGCAAGCAAAUCGCAAAAAACCGUUCUCAGUUCGGAUUGCAGGCUGCAACUCGCCUGCAUGAAGCUGGAAUCGCUAGUAAUGGCGCAUCAGAACGGCGCCGUGAAUACGUUCCCGGGCCUUGUACACACCGCCCGU
RNAcentral lists this ribosomal RNA (500 nucleotides) under uncultured bacterium. RNAcentral describes it as "partial 16S ribosomal RNA". It matches the Rfam family "Bacterial small subunit ribosomal RNA", at positions 899 to 1397 of the family's 1533-position model. The record is from RNAcentral.